CGACAAAUUCCUCAGUCCCGCAAAUCCCGCGGGAUCCCGCUCCAUUUAUGUGCUAAUGUGCAGGAUUAAUCCCACAAAAAUGCUGCGGGAUCCCGGUAUUUCGGGAUCCCGCAAUUCCGGUAUUGCAUUCCCUAAUUCCAUCGCUUCCAGUUAUACCAAUACAGAAAACUGAAAGGAAUGGGAACUGCGAUGUAUAGUAAUGUAGGAGCUAGCACCGAAACGAUUUUCAAUAAAAGAUUAACGUACGUUUAGAACUAAAUUGUCCUGAAUGAACCAAAGCUCAUUUUCAUUACGGUUAACUUCACAAAAAUACCCGAAAGAUUUUGAACCACUACAUCUGGACUGUCUUUAAGUUGUGUUUUCCACGACGCUGUAACUCUUACGAGUUGCUAAAACAGUACUUGCACCAGUAAUGAGGAUUAGUCUAUACUGAGUACUAGAAUGGCAAUUUACACGAUACGAGCAGUACUCGCUUUUAGCAACCUUUACGAGUUACUAGUGCAGUGUAAAACAGCCUUAACGGUUUUAUCAAAACAUAAAAGUUCUACUUGUAUAAACCUUUGAUCAUAACGAAUCAUUUCAUAAACUACAAACAAAAAUAAAUUUUACUUUCUAGAGAAAUAGCCCAGAAUUUUUAUUGUUUUGCACCGAGACGUCUUGCUUUCUUGUUACGCUACUACGGAGUUUCAUCAUAGUUAACCAGAAACCUUGCAAAAACAUUCUCGUACACUUUGUAAUAUUUCUAGGUUGUAAGUGCCAGUGUCAUUUGGAGGCUCUAUGAAUCAUGAAGUCAAGCCUGGCGGGGGCAAUUGGGACAGCCCAGGAUGUAACUGAGAGAAUCUUGCUUUUUUCCGAUGGUGGUGGUUAUUUUUGACGUUACUACAUUUUCUUUUUGUCUGAUUAUCAAAUUUUCUGCUUACAGUUCCUCUUUUAGGGGAAUUUUUCGAAAGAAAAUAAAAUUCCCCUUAUGUGAUGGUUUUGUCCGUCUGUGCCUCGCCUAACUCGAGAAUGAAGAGAGAUAGUGAUGUCAAACUUUCGCCAAUCGAUUUCUACGAGUUCAAGAAUCGGUGCUAUUGAAUAUGAGCCGGAUUAAAAAUCUGGUUUCCAAAUGCAAGCUGAGUGGCACUGCAAAUCGUAUGCGAUUAAUGAUUGACGUUACUGCUUUUUUGUGACUGAUUAUGUAUUUUUAUCCAUACGAUUGCUAUUUUUUUUAAAUAUUAAUCACGAACUGAGGGCGAAGAUAAUUGGGGAGAAAUUUUACCUUUUCCUGGUGGUGGUGAGAUGUAAAACUUUUUCGACGCCAUUGAUUUUUUUGUGACUAGCAAUGAAAUUUUCCUCUUAUAAUUUCUAAUUUAAGAUUCAAUUGCCGGAAGGUAACGAACUGAGGGCGGGGGAAAUUGGGCAGGUUGUAGAUGAGAGAACCUUUUCAUGGUGGUGGUGAGAUGUUAUGUUUUUGUUGUAUUUGAUUAUUAUGAAAUUUCCUCCUUACAAAUUCUAAUUUUUUUUAUUUUAUUUGCAGAUUUAAUAUAUAUUUGGUGGAAUGGUUACGAACUGUGAGAGGGCGCAAUUGGAACAGGAGAUUGAUCUACUGCGGUAGUCACGAACACAGGACGGGGGCAAAUUUGGACGGGAUGUAUCUGAGAGAAUCUUGCUUUUUUUCCAGUGGUGUUGAGAUGUAAAACUUUCUUUUGACGCGAUUGCUUUUUUGUCGCUGAUAAUGAAAUUUUCCCCUGACAAUUUCUAAUUUUUUGUUUUUAUUUAAGAUUCAUCUGCUGGAAUGGAGACGAACUGAGGGCGGGGGCAAUUGGGGCAGGUUGUACCUGAGAGACCUUACCUUUUCACGUUGCAGAUUCAUUGGACAUGCACUGAGGGAGGACGCAAAUUGCCUUUUCCUGGUAUUGGGGAAAUGUAAAAUUUAUUUUUAACGUUCCUAAUUUUUUUGUAACUGAUUAUGUACUUUUACUUUACGGUUCUAAU
Long non-coding RNA from Photinus pyralis (common eastern firefly), 1977 nucleotides. RefSeq lists it as uncharacterized. NCBI's taxonomy places the organism in Eukaryota, Metazoa, Arthropoda, Insecta, Coleoptera, Lampyridae. The transcript is spliced from 3 exons. The record is from RefSeq and is a predicted model, not a curated record.